AGCGAACGCUGGCGGCAGGCCUAACACAUGCAAGUCGAACGAACCUUUCGGGGUUAGUGGCGGACGGGUGAGUAACACGUGGGAACGUGCCUUUAGGUUCGGAAUAACUCAGGGAAACUUGUGCUAAUACCGAAUGUGCCCUUCGGGGGAAAGAUUUAUCGCCUUUAGAGCGGCCCGCGUCUGAUUAGCUAGUUGGUUGAGGUAAUGGCUCACCAAGGCGACGAUCAGUAGCUGGUCUGAGAGGAUGAUCAGCCACAUUGGAACUGAGACACGGCCCAAACUCCUACGGGAGGCAGCAGUGGGGAAUCUUGCGCAAUGGGCGAAAGCCUGACGCAGCCAUGCCGCGUGAAUGAUGAAGGUCUUAGGAUUGUAAAAUUCUUUCACCGGGGACGAUAAUGACGGUACCCGGAGAAGAAGCCCCGGCUAACUUCGU
Molecule: ribosomal RNA, 433 nt
Filed under: uncultured bacterium
Lineage: Bacteria
Description: partial 16S ribosomal RNA
Rfam family: Bacterial small subunit ribosomal RNA
Source: RNAcentral